This 1171-nucleotide long non-coding RNA is filed under the name Nicotiana tabacum (common tobacco). RNAcentral describes it as "long non-coding RNA (NTAB_LNC014284)". The record is from RNAcentral. Lineage: Eukaryota; Viridiplantae; Streptophyta; Magnoliopsida; Solanales; Solanaceae.
UUGUUCACGGUAAUGUUAAUGACAAUUUUAAUAAUGCUACUUAUAUAUCUUGAAAAUUAAUAUUAAGAAAAAAUUAAAUGUACGAAUAUAUUACAUAAAUGAGAGGAUUUAUAAUGUCAAGGGCAUAAUAGACUUUUCAGGUGAAAGGUUUGUAAAAUUUUAUCAAAGUGAUUAUUGUGAUAACUAGAGCAUAGUAAAAUGAUUUUUGUGUAACAAAGGAGAAAAAAUGACUUUUGGGUAAUAAACACACAGUUGAAUGACUUUUACAUAACAAAAGAAAGAAAAGUACUUUUAGGUAAUGAACAAAAAGUUGAAUGACCGUCCAUAAAAUUUACUCUAAAAAUAACAUAUAGAUAGAGAGAAAUUGAACUUGCCUUAACCACCAUGCUAUUUGGUCUGCUAUUAAUUGGUGAUCUUGGUAUAGGGGGUAACAAAGAUUCUAUAACCUCACCAUCCUAAACAAGAAGAAUUAAGAGGAAAAAAGCAAAAUCAAUCAAUGAAGUUGAAGCUUUAUUAAUUGAAACUCAUUAGACUGAAAUCUUGGAUUAAUUAGUACAAGAUCUUCAUCACUCAGAAGAUAUAGAAGAGGUCAUGCAUACCUUGGAAUCUUCGUUUAGGCUUAGCUGUUCUUCAACGUCUUUUCCCAUAUAGUGUCUGCACUUUGAUUAAACUGAACAAGCAACUGUUUUAAGGCCAGGAACUGAAAUCUGGAGAUUUUGACAAAAAUAAAUGUGCAGAAGAAUUGCUAAUUGAUUUGCACAAUGAUAUGGCAAAUAAUUAAACGUUAAAUAUAUAUUUAACAUUAAAAGGGGACACAAAGACGCCGACAAUAAUAAAAGUCAAUUACUGAUUCACUCUCUCUUUAGGUAACUAAGGUAAUCUCAUGCCCAAGGAGGCAUCUUUAGAAUAAAGUAUAAACUAGAAAAGAAAAUAUUUGAAGCUUGUGAUUUUGCAUAUGAUAUUUCAAUAAGAAGUUUAUAAUCAAAUUAUUUUAGUUAUGUAAAAAUAUUCUAUAUUAAUUUUUAGAAUAUAUUAAUAAAAAAAUAAUAUCACAUAAAAUAAAACAAAAUUACUAUCUUUUUUUUUUCCUUUGUGCCCGAUAGGACAAUAAGUGAUUAGUAGGUUACAAUUGGAACCUUCAAGUUAUGAGUCAGAAUCUUAGUGAUUUCUG